RNAcentral lists this ribosomal RNA (423 nucleotides) under uncultured bacterium. Its description in RNAcentral is "bacterial SSU rRNA". It matches the Rfam family "Bacterial small subunit ribosomal RNA", at positions 358 to 774 of the family's 1533-position model. The record is from RNAcentral.
GGAAUAUUCCACAAUGGGCGAAAGCCUGACCGAGCACCGCCGCGUGAGUGAGAAGGUCUUCGGAUUGUAAAGCUCUGUUACGAGGGACGAACGGUGGGGUCAGGAAAUGGGCCCCAAUUGACGGUACCUCGCCCGAAAGUGACGGCUAACUACGUGCCAGCAGCCGCGGUAAUACGUAGGUGGCAAGCGUUAUCCGGAUUUAUUGGGCGUAAAGCGAGCGCAGGCGGUUUCUUAAGUCUGAUGUGAAAGCCUUCGGCUUAACCGAAGAAGUGCAUCGGAAACUGGGAAACUUGAGUGCAGAAGAGGACAGUGGAACUCCAUGUGUAGCGGUGAAAUGCGUAGAUAUAUGGAAGAACACCAGUGGCGAAGGCGGCUGUCUGGUCUGUAACUGACGCUGAGGCUCGAAAGCAUGGGUAGCGAACA